AUCAUCACAGCUUCCAGUCUGUUGAAUUCAAAACGGAAUUUCUCAAGAAUAAACAUCAAAUAAAAUGACGGGUGUGUAGUGCAAAGAGAAUGGUAAUCGUCUCAGGAAGAUCACAGGGGAAAUUUAGUAUCAUUUAAUAUGUUUGUUGUACUAUAUAUAAAAGGAUGAAGGGGAAAAGAGACGAGUAAAAGCAGUAUUAUAGCUUGCUCCGUUUACUGCUGAAGGAUAAAGGACCCAAGGGGUUCGAUCGAGUCCAGGGACAAGGCCACCAGUUAACAGUGUCCACGUGGUGUAUCUUAUCAGUGAAUUCGGUUGUACAGCUGUCAAAGCGACCUGUUUCGAACAGAUCGGACGCCCGGUCUGGCCGAUAC
Long non-coding RNA from Chelonus insularis, 371 nucleotides. RefSeq lists it as uncharacterized. Lineage: Eukaryota; Metazoa; Arthropoda; Insecta; Hymenoptera; Braconidae. The record is from RefSeq and is a predicted model, not a curated record. The transcript is spliced from 3 exons.